AUUGAACGCUGGCGGCAGGCCUAACACAUGCAAGUCGAACGAGUGGCGGACGGGUGAGUAAUGUCUGGGAAUCUGCCUGAUGGCGGGGGAUAACUACUGGAAACGGUAGCUAAUACCGCAUACCAUCGGAUGUGCCCAGAUGGUAUUAGCUAGUAGGUGGGGUAAAGGCUCACCAAGCCGACGAUCCCUAGCUGGUCUGAGAGGAUGACCAGCCACACUGGGACUGAGACACGGUCCAGACUCCUACGUGAGGCAGCAGUGGGGAAUAUUGCACAAUGGGCGCAAGCCUGAUGCAGCCAUGCCGCGUGUAUGAAGAAGGCCUUCGGGUUGUAAAGUACUUUCAGCGGGGAGGCGUUACCCGCAGAAGAAGCACCGGCUAACUCCGUGCCAGCAGCCGCGGUAAUUC
RNAcentral lists this ribosomal RNA (406 nucleotides) under uncultured bacterium. RNAcentral's name for it is "partial 16S ribosomal RNA". It matches the Rfam family "Bacterial small subunit ribosomal RNA", at positions 30 to 526 of the family's 1533-position model. The record is from RNAcentral.